Acipenser ruthenus (sterlet) is the source of this 525-nucleotide long non-coding RNA. RefSeq lists it as uncharacterized. The record is from RefSeq and is a predicted model, not a curated record. NCBI's taxonomy places the organism in Eukaryota, Metazoa, Chordata, Actinopteri, Acipenseriformes, Acipenseridae. The transcript is spliced from 4 exons.
GCUACAAUUCACAGAGAGCAGAGGUUAGCAGUGUCACUCGUUCAUCAGCUACAAUUCACAGAGAACAGAGGUUAGCAGUGCCACUCGUUCAUCAGCUACAAUUCACAGAGAGCAGAGGUUAGCAGUGUCACUCGUUCAUCAGCUACAAUUCACAGAGAACAGAGGUUAGCAGUGCCACUCGUUCAUCAGCUACAAUUCACAGAGAGCAGAGGUUAGCAGUGUCACUCGUUCAUCAGCUACAAUUGACAGAGAACAGAGGUUAGCAGUGUCACUCGUUCAUCAGCUACAAUUCACAGAGAGCAGAGGUUAGCAGUGCCACUCGUUCAUCAGCUACAAUUCACAGAGAGCAGAGGUUAGCAGUGUCACUCGUUCAUCAGCUACAAUUCACAGAGAGCAGAGGUUAGCAGUGUCACUCGUUCAUCAGCUACAAUUCACAGAGAACAGAGGUUAGCAGUGUCACUCGUUCAUCAGCUACAAUUCACAGAGAACAGAGGUUAGCAGUGUCACUCGUUCAUCAGCUACAAU